CAUGUAGGCGGAUUAAUAAGUUUGAAGUGAAAUCCUAUAGCUUAACUAUAGAACUGCUUUGAAAACUGUUAAUCUAGAAUGUGGGAGAGGUAGAUGGAAUUUCUGGUGUAGGGGUAAAAUCCGUAGAGAUCAGAAGGAAUACCGAUUGCGAAGGCGAUAUACUGGAACAUUAUUGACGCUGAGAUGCGAAAGCGUGGGGAGCAAACA
RNAcentral lists this ribosomal RNA (207 nucleotides) under uncultured bacterium. Its description in RNAcentral is "partial 16S ribosomal RNA". It matches the Rfam family "Bacterial small subunit ribosomal RNA", at positions 568 to 774 of the family's 1533-position model. The record is from RNAcentral.